RNAcentral lists this ribosomal RNA (496 nucleotides) under uncultured bacterium. RNAcentral describes it as "partial 16S ribosomal RNA". It matches the Rfam family "Bacterial small subunit ribosomal RNA", at positions 28 to 506 of the family's 1533-position model. The record is from RNAcentral.
GAUGAACGCUGGCGGCGUGCCUAAUACAUGCAAGUCGAGCGAACGGACGAGAAGCUUGCUUCUCUGAUGUUAGCGGCGGACGGGUGAGUAACACGUGGAUAACCUACCUAUAAGACUGGGAUAACUUCGGGAAACCGGAGCUAAUACCGGAUAAUAUUUUGAACCGCAUGGUUCAAAAGUGAAAGACGGUCUUGCUGUCACUUAUAGAUGGAUCCGCGCUGCAUUAGCUAGUUGGUAAGGUAACGGCUUACCAAGGCAACGAUGCAUAGCCGACCUGAGAGGGGGAUCGGCCACACGGAAAGUGAGACAGGGCCCAAAUCCCUAGGGGGGGCAGAAGUGGGAAAUUUUCGGAAAGGGGGGAAAGCCUAAGGGAGCAACGCGGGGGGAGUGAGGAAGGUUUUCGGUUCGUAAAACUUUUUUAUUGGGGAAAAAAAAAUGUGUAAGUAACUGUGCAACUUUGGAGGGUACCAAAAAAAAAAGCCAGGGCUAACUACGG